GUCCAUGGCCACACCACUCUGAAUGCACUUGAUCUCAGAAGCUAAUAGAGCAGGGCCUAGUUAGUACUUGGAUGGUAAAAAUACACAAUUUUUGCUGGGGAUA
Ribosomal RNA from Cricetulus griseus (Chinese hamster), 103 nucleotides. The record is from Ensembl. Lineage: Eukaryota; Metazoa; Chordata; Mammalia; Rodentia; Cricetidae.